UACGAAGGGGGCUAGCGUUGCUCGGAAUCACUGGGCGUAAAGGGUGCGUAGGCGGGUCUUUAAGUCAGGGGUGAAAUCCUGGAGCUCAACUCCAGAACUGCCUUUGAUACUGAAGAUCUUGAGUUCGGGAGAGGUGAGUGGAACUGCGAGUGUAGAGGUGAAAUUCGUAGAUAUUCGGAAGAACACCAGUGGCGAAGGCGACAUACUGGUCCGUUACUGACGCUGAGGCUCGAAAGCGUGGGGAGCAAACAGG
RNAcentral lists this ribosomal RNA (253 nucleotides) under uncultured bacterium. Its description in RNAcentral is "partial 16S ribosomal RNA". It matches the Rfam family "Bacterial small subunit ribosomal RNA", at positions 524 to 776 of the family's 1533-position model. The record is from RNAcentral.